RNAcentral lists this unclassified non-coding RNA (1949 nucleotides) under uncultured fungus. Its description in RNAcentral is "sequence contains 18S rRNA gene, ITS1, 5.8S rRNA gene, ITS2, 28S rRNA gene". The stretch from base 813 to 1949 matches the Rfam family "Eukaryotic large subunit ribosomal RNA", at positions 1 to 961 of the family's 3401-position model. Lineage: Eukaryota; Fungi. The record is from RNAcentral.
GGAAGGAUCAUUAACACUUAUCCAAAACCCCACAAAACGAAUGUGAAGUGUUCAAGUUUUUUAUUUUUCCAAACCGUGAACAUUUUACUUGCAUCUUGCUUUUUUUUUUUUAAAAGCAAAAUGUGAUGUGUUGGUGUUUGAGAGGAAUAAAAAACAUGACACAAAUCAAAUUUUUUUUCUUUCCCGUAAGGGAAAAAAAAAAAAAAGAACCAAAAUAUUCAUAUACACAACUUUUAACGAUGGAUAUCUUGGCUCCGACAACGAAGAAGAACGCAGCGAACUGCGAUACGUAGUGUGAAUUGCAGAUGUCUGUGAAUCAUCGAAACUUUGAACGCAAGUUGCGCAGCCAAAAGCUGCAUACCUGUUUGAGUGUUGGCAACAACAAAACUCUCCACCUAAAAUGGAGGUGGGAAAAUUUUUUUUUUCCCAUCUUUAUUGAAGAGGAGGAAUUGAGUGGUAUCGUUGUGUGUUGAAUUUAUAUUCAACAUACAAAGAGUCCCUUCAAGUUGAGCCGCUAUGAUGAUGAAGAUAUUGAUUUUCAUCCAAACAUGUCUUGGAGUCUUGCUCUUUAAAAACGAGUGAUUCUCCCUGGCUUCAUGAUUUUUGGGAAAAGAAAAAGUUACUCUUAGGUGCUUGUUCACAAUGCACAUGAUAGUACCUUUUUAUUUUUUCCCUAUCCAUAAAAUCAUAUUGCACGAAAAGAGAUAUGGAAAAUCAAAUACUUCAACAAAUUUUGUCGUGGCGAUCGAAUUGGACGAUUAAAUCCAAUCAUGUCCUUUCUCGGACAUGAAAAUGCAUUUAAUUGCAAAAAUCAACCUCAAAUCAGGUAAGACUACCUCCUGAACUUAAGCAUAUUAUUAAGGAGAGGAAAAGAACUAACUAGGAUUCCCUCAGUAAUGGCGAAUGAAGUGGGAAGAGCUCAGAUUUAAAAUCUGGCGGCCGAUGCCGUCCGAAUUGUAGUCUUUGGAAGCGACAUCUGUUCGGGUUCCAGCAUAAGUCUUUUGGAAUAGAGCGCCAGAGAGGGUGAUAGCCCCGUGUAUGGCUGGAGCGCCCGACGAUACGUUGUCGUUUUUUAGAGUCGGUUAUCUUGGGAAUGAUGACUGAAUUGCGUGGUAAAUUCCAUGUAAAGCUAAAUACCGGUCGGAGACCGAUAGCGAACAAGUAGCGCGAGCGAAAGAUGAAAAGAACUUUGAAAAGAGGGUUAAAAGGACUUGAAAUCGUUAAAAUGGAAACGAUUGGAUUCAGUAUUGACCUGUGGACAAAUCACGUAUCUCGGGCAAUACCUGUCUAUCCAGGAGGCUCCUCGUGGGUCACUGGGUGGAGCAGGCAAGGUCUACGGAUGCGGUAUUUUAGCCAUAGGUUGGUCAACAUCAGUUCGACGAGUGGGAAAAAGGCAGGAGGAAGGUAGCUCAUCUUCGGACGAGUGUUAAGACUCUUGUUGAUACCACUCGGAUUUUGGACUGAGGAAAGCAGGGUGUGCCUCGAGCUGGGCUCCUUUUGUUUAUUGUGGGUUGUGGUGUGCGGGACAGGUACUGUGCCGUGUGUCACAGCUUGCAAAUGGGCAAGAGAUUUCCACAUACACCCUCAAGAUGUUGACAAAAUGGAUUCAACCGACCCGUCUUGAAACACGGACCAAGGAGUCUAACAUAUAUGCGAGUAUUAAGGUGUGUCAAACCUUAGUGCGCAAUGAAAGUAAAGGCAAGUUUGACUUGCUGAGGUGGGAAGUUGUGGGCUGCCAUGACCGCACCAUCGACCGAUCUGGAUUUUUUUGAAAGAUUUGAGUAAGAGCAUAUCUGUUGGGACCCGAAAGACAGUGAACUAUGCGAGCAUAGGUUGAAGCCAGAGGAAACUCUGGUGGAGGAUCGUAGCGAUACUGACGUGCAAAUCGUUCGUCAAAUGUUCGUAUAGGGGCGAAAGACUAAUCGAACUGUCUAGUAGCUGGUUCCCUC